GAGGUAGUAUCGAUCGCGAGGCGUGAUAUCGAAACACAAUCUCGAAUGAUUCGUUUUCGAAAGGGGUACAACCGUUUUUCUCAUAUGAAUUCGAUAUGACGGAGUUCGAGUCGUCGUGAAAGUGCUGGAACCUGCUGUGAUACAAUCAGAUCUCAAUAUCACAGCGAUAAGGUCUGGCGUUAUAGACCGUGGCGUCGGCAGCCAGAACAUUCAAAAAGAAGAACAAUCCAUCGCGAUGUUUAUGGUAGAUUCGGAAUGGAUUAUGGCGCCAUUUCGGGCUCAGGGAGGACGUUUCUCGCAAUUUUCAUUCACCGAAAGCGAGUCUCAUGCUGUGAUACAUUGUGAUCGCCGAAAAUGCCGGGGGGAUUCAUAGGGAUACUAUGAGGGGGUAAUAAAUACUAUUCACAAGAUGAUUAUACCUGAGUUUGUAUAAUUUGUACAUUAUGGUGUACAUGUAUUCAUUGGGAAAAAUGGAUGAUUAAUAUAAUAAUCAACAACAUAGUUUUGCGACUCUCAAUAUUAGAUAAUAAUAAAACAGUGAAUAAUA
This is a long non-coding RNA of Harpegnathos saltator (Jerdon's jumping ant), 547 nucleotides long. RefSeq lists it as uncharacterized. The transcript has 3 exons. Lineage: Eukaryota; Metazoa; Arthropoda; Insecta; Hymenoptera; Formicidae. The record is from RefSeq and is a predicted model, not a curated record.